This 251-nucleotide ribosomal RNA is filed under the name uncultured bacterium. RNAcentral's name for it is "partial 16S ribosomal RNA". It matches the Rfam family "Bacterial small subunit ribosomal RNA", at positions 524 to 775 of the family's 1533-position model. The record is from RNAcentral.
UACGUAGGGGGCGAGCGUUAUCCGGAUUUAUUGGGCGUAAAGCGUGUGUAGGCGGUUUAUUAAGUCUAAGAUCAAAGCCCGAGGCUUAACCUCGGUUCGUCUUAGAAACUGGUAGACUUGAGUGCAGUAGAGGCAAGUGGAAUUUCUAGUGUAGCGGUUAAAUGCGUAGAUAUUAGAAGGAACACCAGUGGCGAAGGCGGCUUGCUGGGCUGUUACUGACGCUGAGACACGAAAGCGUGGGUAUCGAACAG